This is a long non-coding RNA of Gallus gallus (chicken), 1312 nucleotides long. The record is from Ensembl. NCBI's taxonomy places the organism in Eukaryota, Metazoa, Chordata, Aves, Galliformes, Phasianidae.
CACGAGCCUCAGCGAGCUUCUUCAUCCAGAAAUGAUUAAGGAGCAGAAGCGGAGCCCGUUUUGAAUCGUACCCAGUUGUGUCAUGAUUCCACUACAGCCAGAUCUCGACACUGCAUUAAUGACUUCAGAGUGGAUUAUCUCGCAUUGGCAUGUAACAAAUGAUUGUCCAGGCCAUCCAAAUGGGCAAAUGGUUGAUGUUGCAGAGACUUGUUAAAAAAGGGCAAGAUUUAAUUUCAUGUAAAUGGAUUACACCUGCAAAUGGUAUUUCUGAUGCAUAGGUAAAUGCGGAGAGAGCACUUCCUUAUGUUUGCCCCCCUACAGCUCUCCUUCCUUGUGGCCUCAGGGGCAGGGUGGAAAAGGCUCUGCUUUCUCAUUCUGCUUUGGAUGUGACAUUGGCUGCUACAGCCAUGUCCUUGCAAACAUACGCUGCUUCAAACAAGAAAAAUCUAUUACGUAAAAGAGGGUUGACUGGGGUCCUCAGGAGGAUGGCUUAGUUUAAGUGGUACUCUGAAAACAGAGUUCUCUUUGCAGAACUUCUGCAUGACAAAUUGCCUUCAGUUGGAUGCUCACUGUUGCAUGGUCUGCUGUACUCUAGACUGAACUUCAUUUUCGCAAAUGGCCUGUUACUGUUACAGAAAUAUUUUGUGAACUGAGUGCAGCAACACAUAGCAAGGCCCCAGUUCCACAGCAGUACACAGUUAGACAUAACUUUGUAUAUGCUAGUAGUUUAUGGUCUUUCUUAUUUGUCUAUGGGAGGUAUAGAUUCACUUGAGGGGAGAAGAGUGUCCCCUGCAUUAUCCAUCCCUUUUCACAUCUAACCUUUUGGACUUCUAAAGCAGAAAUUAUUGUAAAAUAAUUUUUAUUUUAUUUUGUUUUGUUUUUAUUUAUCUAUUUUACUGUUUCAAGUAAGUUAAAAAGCAGCUGGAUGUGCUUGAGUCUGAACGUCUGGUGUUAUCUCCAGAAGAGGAUCUUGUACUGAAGAGGUCUCUCCCCUGCUUAGCAUCCUCACAGGAUCUCUGCCUGUUUAAGGAGGGGCAUGGAGCCAGCCACCCCUUAUAAAGUGAUCUCUGUGCCCUGGGAGCCAGGAAAAGUCUGCACGGAGUUUCUAUGCCUUGGCACAACCAUAGCCUUGCAUAGGCAUUGUGGCAGUGGAAGGGUCUGUGUGCAUUGUGUGAGUGAUGUUUGGCUUUGACCAUGCAUGAGUAUUCAAGCCCAGAUAGAUCUGUACAAGAAAAGCAGAAUAAAACAGUGAGUUUCUAUUGCGAAUACACACACCUGUGAGAAAAGCAGCCCUACUGUGCUAAUGAUAACG